UACGUAGGGUGCAAGCGUUGUCCGGAAUUACUGGGCGUAAAGGGCGCGUAGGCGGCACGGCAAGUCAGGAGUGAAAGGCCUGGGCUCAACCGAGGAACUGCUUUUGAGACUGCCGAGCUAGAGUGCAGAAGGGGCAACUGGAAUUCCCAGUGUAGCGGUGAAAUGCGUAGAUAUUGGGAAGAACACCUGAGGCGAAGGCGGGUUGCUGGGCUGACACUGACGCUGAGGCGCGAAAGCCAGGGGAGCAAACGGG
Molecule: ribosomal RNA, 253 nt
Filed under: uncultured bacterium
Lineage: Bacteria
Description: partial 16S ribosomal RNA
Rfam family: Bacterial small subunit ribosomal RNA
Source: RNAcentral